GUCCAGCUGAAGAGUCCUAAAUAUGACGUAACGCACGUCCUGAAU
Molecule: non-coding RNA, 45 nt
Organism: Schistosoma mansoni
Lineage: Eukaryota; Metazoa; Platyhelminthes; Trematoda; Strigeidida; Schistosomatidae
Source: Rfam